AUGGUCUCUCUUUAUUUCAGCUACAUGAAUCUAGUGUUGAUCGUGCAGCUUUUGUGGACUUUGUGCUUGGCUUGUCAGGAUAUAUUUUCUCUGAGGAAUAACAGGGAUCUUCAUGCCCCGGAUUUUCUAUUGUUCUUUGUUAUAAUUGAUUGGGUCAUGGCGAUUCUCAUGUUCUCUGGAUUCUGUGCCUCUGCCAGCGUGACGAUUUUCUUCAUGAAGGAUAUGAACUUCUGCGCGGAAUACCGGCGUCUGGACUGCAGUCAGUUCACACUUUCAGUCACUCUGGCGUUCUUUACAUGGUUGUUGCAAGCUACGUCUUCUUUCUCUGGGUUCUGGCUACUGAUUUCAUUCUUCUAG
RNAcentral lists this ribosomal RNA (357 nucleotides) under Triticum aestivum (bread wheat). Its description in RNAcentral is "partial small subunit ribosomal RNA". The record is from RNAcentral. Lineage: Eukaryota; Viridiplantae; Streptophyta; Magnoliopsida; Poales; Poaceae.